Molecule: ribosomal RNA, 953 nt
Filed under: Peptostreptococcus sp.
Lineage: Bacteria; Bacillati; Bacillota; Clostridia; Peptostreptococcales; Peptostreptococcaceae
Description: bacterial SSU rRNA
Rfam family: Bacterial small subunit ribosomal RNA
Source: RNAcentral
UGCAGUCGAGCGCGGUUGUGCUUAGUAUUGAGUGUUUUAUUGAUAUAAAACAUUGAAUUCUAUGCACAACUGAGCGGCGGACGGGUGAGUAACGCGUGGGUAACCUGCCCUAUACACAUGGAUAACAUACUGAAAAGUUUACUAAUACAUGAUAAAAUAGUUUUUCGGCAUCGAAGAAUUAUCAAAGUGUUAGCGGUAUAGGAUGGACCCGCGUCUGAUUAGCUAGUUGGUGAGAUAACUGCCCACCAAGGCGACGAUCAGUAGCCGACCUGAGAGGGUGAUCGGCCACAUUGGAACUGAGACACGGUCCAAACUCCUACGGGAGGCAGCAGUGGGGAAUAUUGCACAAUGGGCGCAAGCCUGAUGCAGCAACGCCGCGUGAACGAUGAAGGUCUUCGGAUCGUAAAGUUCUGUUGCAGGGGAAGAUAAUGACGGUACCCUGUGAGGAAGCCCCGGCUAACUACGUGCCAGCAGCCGCGGUAAUACGUAGGGGGCUAGCGUUAUCCGGAUUUACUGGGCGUAAAGGGUGCGUAGGUGGUCUUUCAAGUCGGUGGUUAAAGGCUACGGCUCAACCGUAGUAAGCCUCCGAAACUGUUAGACUUGAGUGCAGGAGAGGAAAGUGGAAUUCCCAGUGUAGCGGUGAAAUGCGUAGAUAUUGGGAGGAACACCAGUAGCGAAGGCGGCUUUCUGGACUGCAACUGACACUGAGGCACGAAAGCGUGGGUAGCAAACAGGAUUAGAUACCCUGGUAGUCCACGCCGUAAACGAUGAGUACUANGUGUCGGGGGUUACCCCCCUCGGUGCCGCAGCUAACGCAUUAAGUACUCCGCCUGGGGAGUACGCACGCAAGUGUGAAACUCAAAGGAAUUGACGGGGACCCGCACAAGUAGCGGAGCAUGUGGUUUAAUUCGAAGCAACGCGAAGAACCUUACCUAAGCUUGACAUCCCUCGGA